RNAcentral lists this ribosomal RNA (451 nucleotides) under uncultured bacterium. RNAcentral describes it as "partial 16S ribosomal RNA". It matches the Rfam family "Bacterial small subunit ribosomal RNA", at positions 28 to 507 of the family's 1533-position model. The record is from RNAcentral.
GAUGAACGCUGGCGGCGUGCCUAACACAUGCAAGUCGAGCGGCAGCGAGGGGUGCUUGCACCCUGUCGGCGAGCGGCGGACGGCUGAGUAACGCGUGGGAACGUGCCCCAAAGUGAGGAAUAACUGCCCGAAAGGGUAGCUAAUACCGCAUAUUAUCUUCGGAUCAAAGGAUUUAUCCGCUUUGGGAGCGGCUCGCGUCGGAUUAGGUAGUUGGUGAGGUAAUGGCUCACCAAGCCGACGAUCCGUAGCUGGUCUGAGAGGAUGACCAGCCAGACUGGAACUGAGACACGGUCCCGACUCCUACGGGAGGCAGCAGUGAGGAAUCUUCCACAAUGGGCGAAAGCCUGAUGGAGCAACGCCGCGUGCAGGACGAAGGCCUUCGGGUUGUAAACUGCUUUUAUAAGUGAGGAAUAUGACGGUAACUUAUGAAUAAGCAUCGGCUAACUACGUG